GACGAACCGUGCGAACGUUAUUCGGAAUCACUGGGCUUAAAGCGCGUGUAGGCGGGCCGCCACGUCAGUCGCUGAAAUCCCCCGGCUCAACCGGGGAAGUGGCACUGAUACGAGCGGCCUGGAGGGAGGUAGGGGGGGCUGGAACUUCCGGUGGAGCGGUGAAAUGCGUUGAGAUCGGAAGGAACGCCCGUGGCGAAAGCGAGCCCCUGGACCUUUUCUGACGCUGAGACGCGAAAGCUAGGGGGAGCGAACGGG
This 255-nucleotide ribosomal RNA is filed under the name uncultured bacterium. Its description in RNAcentral is "partial 16S ribosomal RNA". It matches the Rfam family "Bacterial small subunit ribosomal RNA", at positions 524 to 776 of the family's 1533-position model. The record is from RNAcentral.